GUGCUCAAUUCAGCAGCACAUAUAUCAAAAAUUAGUGCCAUUCAGAGAUUAACAUGGCCCUGCACUAGGGUGACAUGCAGAUUUGGCAAGUGCUUCAUAUUUUU
Molecule: small nuclear RNA, 104 nt
Organism: Ictidomys tridecemlineatus (thirteen-lined ground squirrel)
Lineage: Eukaryota; Metazoa; Chordata; Mammalia; Rodentia; Sciuridae
Source: Ensembl